RNAcentral lists this unclassified non-coding RNA (400 nucleotides) under uncultured Gammaproteobacteria bacterium. RNAcentral describes it as "contains 16S-23S intergenic spacer region". It matches the Rfam family "Bacterial small subunit ribosomal RNA", at positions 760 to 1166 of the family's 1533-position model. The record is from RNAcentral. Lineage: Bacteria; Pseudomonadati; Pseudomonadota; Gammaproteobacteria.
UCCGAUUUGUCACCGGAUUAGAUACCCUGGUAGUCCACGCCCUAAACGAUGUCAACUAGGUGUUGGGGAAGCGAUUUCUCAGUACCGCAGCUAACGCGUGAAGUUGACCGCCUGGGGAGUACGGUCGCAAGAUUAAAACUCAAAGGAAUUGACGGGGACCCGCACAAGCGGUGGAUGAUGUGGAUUAAUUCGAUGCAACGCGAAUAACCUUACCUACCCUUGACAUGUACGGAAGCCCUCAGAGAUGGGGGUGUGCCCGAAAGGGAGCCGUAACACAGGUGCUGCAUGGCUGUCGUCAGCUCGUGUCGUGAGAUGUUGGGUUAAGUCCCGCAACGAGCGCAACCCUUGUCCCUAGUUGCUACGCAAGGGCACUCUAGGGAGACUGCCGGUGACAAACCGG